AAUAGAUACCCGGUAGUCCAUGCCGUAAACGAUGUCUACUAGCCGUUGGGGCCUUUGAGGCUUUAGUGGCGCAGCUAACGCGAUAAGUAGACCGCCUGGGGAGUACGGUCGCAAGACUAAAACUCAAAUGAAUUGACGGGGGCCCGCACAAGCGGUGGAGCAUGUGGUUUAAUUCGAUGCAACGCGAAGAACCUUACCUGGUCUUGACAUACAGAGAACUUUCCAGAGAUGGAUUGGUGCCUUCGGGAACUCUGAUACAGGUGCUGCAUGGCUGUCGUCAGCUCGUGUCGUGAGAUGUUGGGUUAAGUCCCGCAACGAGCGCAACCCUUUUCCUUACUUGCCAUCGGGUCAUGCCGGGAACUUUAAGGAUACUGCCAGUGACAAACUGGAGGAAGGCGGGGGCGACGUCAAGUCAUCAUGGCCCUUACGACCAGGGCUACACACGUGCUACAAUGGUCGGUACAAAGGGUUGCUACCUAGCGAUAGGAUGCUAAUCUCAAAAAGCCGAUCGUAGUCCGGAUUGGAGU
RNAcentral lists this ribosomal RNA (527 nucleotides) under uncultured bacterium. RNAcentral describes it as "bacterial SSU rRNA". It matches the Rfam family "Bacterial small subunit ribosomal RNA", at positions 777 to 1304 of the family's 1533-position model. The record is from RNAcentral.